This 327-nucleotide unclassified non-coding RNA is filed under the name uncultured fungus. RNAcentral describes it as "sequence contains ITS1". The stretch from base 1 to 105 matches the Rfam family "5.8S ribosomal RNA", at positions 50 to 154 of the family's 154-position model. Lineage: Eukaryota; Fungi. The record is from RNAcentral.
GAAAUGCGAUAAGUAAUGCGAAUUGCAGAAUUCCGUGAGUCAUCGAAUCUUUGAACGCACAUUGCGCCCUUUGGUAUUCCGAAGGGCAUGCCUGUUCGAGCGUCAUUAUCAACCCUCAAGCUCGGCUUGUUUAUUGGACCUAGCAUCGAACGUUAACCGUCGGUGGGCCCGAAAGAUAAUGGCAGAGUCGGAUGGACCCUGGAUGCAGCGAGCUUUUUUUCUAGCACGCAUCACGGGGGUCGUUUGGGCUCGGUCUUAACCAGGAUUUUUUUAAAAUCUGCUUCUAUGGUUGACCUCGGAUCAGGUAGGGAUACCCGCUGAACUUAA